AUUGAACGCUGGCGGCAGGCUCAACACAUGCAAGUCGAGCGGAGAUGAGGUGCUUGCACCUUAUCUUAGCGGCGGACGGGUGAGUAAUGCUUAGGAAUCUGCCUAUUAGUGGGGGACAACAUUCCGAAAGGAAUGCUAAUACCGCAUACGUCCUACGGGAGAAAGCAGGGGAUCUUCGGACCUUGCGCUAAUAGAUGAGCCUAAGUCGGAUUAGCUAGUUGGUGGGGUAAAGGCCUACCAAGGCGACGAUCUGUAGCGGGUCUGAGAGGAUGAUCAGCCACACUGGGAUUGAGACACGGCCCAGAAUCCUACGGGAGGCAGCAGUGGGGAAUAUUGGACAAUGGGGGGAACCCUGAUCCAGCCAUGCCGCGUGUGUGAAGAAGGCCUUAUGGUUGUAAAGCACUUUAAGCGAGGAGGAGGCUACUGAGACUAAUACUCUUGGAUAGUGGACGUUACUCGCAGAAUAAGCACCGGCUAACUCUGUGCCAGCCGCCGCCGCAG
RNAcentral lists this ribosomal RNA (501 nucleotides) under uncultured bacterium. RNAcentral describes it as "partial 16S ribosomal RNA". It matches the Rfam family "Bacterial small subunit ribosomal RNA", at positions 30 to 523 of the family's 1533-position model. The record is from RNAcentral.